Molecule: ribosomal RNA, 466 nt
Filed under: uncultured bacterium
Lineage: Bacteria
Description: partial 16S ribosomal RNA
Rfam family: Bacterial small subunit ribosomal RNA
Source: RNAcentral
GAUGAACGCUGGCGGCGUGCUUAACACAUGCAAGUCGAACGGAAAGGCCCAAGCUUGCUUGGGUACUCGAGUGGCGAACGGGUGAGUAACACGUGGGUGAUCUGCCCUGCACUUCGGGAUAAGCCUGGGAAACUGGGUCUAAUACCGGAUAGGACCACAUUUUGGAUGGUGUGGUGGAAAGUUUUUCGGUGUGGGAUGAGCUCGCGGCCUAUCAGCUUGUUGGUGGGGUAAUGGCCUACCAAGGCGUCGACGGGUAGCCGGCCUGAGAGGGUGUACGGCCACAUUGGGACUGGGAUACGGCCCAGACUCCUACGGGAGGCAGCAGUGGGGAAGAUUGCACAAUGGGCGCAAGCCUGAUGCAGCGACGCCGCGUGGGGGAUGACGGCCUUCGGGUUGUAAACUCCUUUCGCUAGGGACGAAGCGUUAUGUGACGGUACCUGGAGAAGAAGCACCGGCUAACUACGUG